UUGUUUUCGUCUCUAAAAUGAUUGCUACCCAUUUGUAAACCUUUGAGAUCAAACAACAUCGAUCGUUUUAUAAAACAUUCAGACGAGUAGACUUUCAAAAGAAUCACAAAACUAUUUCUACUUUGAUUUUUUGGACAACGAAAGGCUAUUCUAUUACUCAAGCUUGAGGUGGUCUGGAUAGCCAGACUGGAAUAGAACAACCAAUAAAACAUAAAUUUCUAUAGAAAGACACUAUUUCUACUUUCAUAAAAGGGAACAAAUGACCAUGAAUAUAUAAAACUAUAGUUUUUGAUUACAUGAUGACGAUAAUGAUGUUGUUAUUUGCGGAGGUAUGAAGAAGAAGGAAGCCAUUGAUAUUCAUGCUGAUGAUACCUACACUUGAAAGAUCUGGAUGCUUCCACGGUGAACACACACACUUCUUCUUUCCACCGGUAUCUUCACGGUGACCCACGGUGGCUACAACUUCUGUUGCCACGGUAGAAGUGUGGAAUCUCUCCGGAGCAAUAACAAGAGGAAGAAUCUUUUGUAACACAUUUAUUUGUCUUGCACUCAAAAUAAAAAAAAAACGAAGAAGAUUUUGUAUGGUUUUAUCAAAAGAAAGACUAUAAAAUACUAGUCAC
RNAcentral lists this long non-coding RNA (620 nucleotides) under Brassica napus (rape). Its description in RNAcentral is "long non-coding RNA (BNAP_LNC018374)". Lineage: Eukaryota; Viridiplantae; Streptophyta; Magnoliopsida; Brassicales; Brassicaceae. The record is from RNAcentral.